ACAUUCCUAGCUCAAACGGAUAGAGCAUUAGCCUUCUAAGCUACUAGUUAAAGGUUCAAGUCCUUUGGAAUGUG
RNAcentral lists this transfer RNA (74 nucleotides) under Cyanophora paradoxa. Its description in RNAcentral is "tRNA-Arg". It matches the Rfam family "tRNA". Rfam says of the family: Transfer RNA (tRNA) molecules are approximately 80 nucleotides in length. Their secondary structure includes four short double-helical elements and three loops (D, anti-codon, and T loops). Further hydrogen bonds mediate the characteristic L-shaped molecular structure. tRNAs have two regions of fundamental functional importance: the anti-codon, which is responsible for specific mRNA codon recognition, and the 3' end, to which the tRNAs corresponding amino acid is attached (by aminoacyl-tRNA synthetases). tRNAs cope with the degeneracy of the genetic code in two manners: having more than one tRNA (with a specific anti-codon) for a particular amino acid; and 'wobble' base-pairing, i.e. permitting non-standard base-pairing at the 3rd anti-codon position. The record is from RNAcentral. Lineage: Eukaryota; Glaucocystophyceae; Cyanophorales; Cyanophoraceae.